RNAcentral lists this non-coding RNA (27 nucleotides) under Mus musculus (house mouse). Lineage: Eukaryota; Metazoa; Chordata; Mammalia; Rodentia; Muridae. The record is from RNAcentral.
UGUAGAAGAAUGCAUAUCAAUAAGGGC